AGCUUUGUUCAGUGGCAGUAUCGUGCCAAUGAGGUUUAUCCGAGGCGCGAUUAUUGCUAAUUGAAAGAUGUUAAAUUUUUGUUAUCAAUUGAGAUAAUCAUGUGGCUUUUCCCUUCAUUCUAUUGAUGUGGUAUGUUAUGUUAAUUUUUGUAUGUUGAACCACCCUUGCAUUCCAG
RNAcentral lists this small nuclear RNA (176 nucleotides) under Canis lupus familiaris (dog). RNAcentral describes it as "U4 spliceosomal RNA (ENSCAFG00845014392.1)". It matches the Rfam family "U4 spliceosomal RNA". Rfam says of the family: U4 small nuclear RNA (U4 snRNA) is a component of the major U2-dependent spliceosome. The structure of U4 snRNA from yeast and human has been reported. Lineage: Eukaryota; Metazoa; Chordata; Mammalia; Carnivora; Canidae. The record is from RNAcentral.